UAAUUUACAUUUCUAGAAAACAAGCUCUUUAUGGUAAGUAGAAAUAUUCCUGUCAUACAGUGGCAUUUCAGAGAGGGAUAAAAACCUUAUAUAUGAAACUUUCACUAAUAACCUGAAACAUCACCACAGAGACAGUCGGGUUAUCCUGUUUGUUUAGACAUCCACUUAUUCACUUGCAAUGCAGGAAAUAUAUUUGGAAAAAAACAAAAAACAAAACAUGAUCAGUUACUUGAUGCAAUCAUGAGAUGUGCUCCAGAAAAACUUAUUAAGGAAUUAUUUCAUCAGAGUCAGUCUCUCUCAACAAGAUUUACAGGCCAGUUGUUGACAUUGUAGUAUCCUCUCUUUGAAUACUGGAAUGGAGCAACUUCAAACAGUCAGUGGACCAAGGUCUUCAUGCUUCAAAUAAACCUGCAUCAAAGAAACCUGGCUAGAAGACAGAGAUCAUACUUUAUUCCCCCACAAAAGGAUUAUGUUUAGAUUUAAUGUUGAUGCCUCAGUUAAGUGCUCACUUUGAAAAUCAAUACAACAUUGUGUGCUUGGUUGGCUCAAUACCUCUCAGUCAACAUUAAUAAAAAAACAGCAACAAA
RNAcentral lists this long non-coding RNA (587 nucleotides) under Pongo abelii (Sumatran orangutan). RNAcentral describes it as "lincRNA". Lineage: Eukaryota; Metazoa; Chordata; Mammalia; Primates; Hominidae. The record is from RNAcentral.